GUGGACCUACGGGACGCAGCAGUGAGGAAUAUUGGUCAAUGGACGGAAGUCCGAACCAGCCAUGCCGCGCGCAGGAAGACGGCUCUAUGAGUUGUAAACUGCUUUUGUACAAGGGUAAACCUGAAUACGUGUAUUCAGCUGAAAGUACUGUACGAAUAAGGAUCGGCUAACUCCGUGCCAGCAGCCGCGGUAAUACGGAGGAUCCAAGCGUUAUCCGGAUUUAUUGGGUUUAAAGGGUGCGUAGGCGGAUUGAUAAGUUAGAGGUGAAAUGUCCGAGCUUAACUCGGGAACUGCCUCUAAUACUU
RNAcentral lists this ribosomal RNA (305 nucleotides) under uncultured bacterium. Its description in RNAcentral is "bacterial SSU rRNA". It matches the Rfam family "Bacterial small subunit ribosomal RNA", at positions 333 to 635 of the family's 1533-position model. The record is from RNAcentral.